This is a non-coding RNA of Elaeis guineensis (African oil palm), 2852 nucleotides long. NCBI's taxonomy places the organism in Eukaryota, Viridiplantae, Streptophyta, Magnoliopsida, Arecales, Arecaceae. The record is from RefSeq and is a predicted model, not a curated record.
AGGAGCUGCAUCUACUUGCAUCUGCAAUUGGCCUUAUGUACCGGGAUCUAGCUUUUCUAGAAAGGGUAAACGGAGAUUCUGAUUCUUGGCUGUGGAAGGCACAUUGAGCCAGUGAGCCCUGAGCUCCGUCGCUUCAUACGGUCUACAGGAAUGAAAUUGGAAGCAACGAUUUGAGAAAUGCUGCUUCUACUUACAAUAUAUUAAAUGAUGAAGGAAGGCCGGUGGAACUACUUCAGAAUCUUCAUCUACCAUGAUAAUCAAGGCUGUCUAUUAAGUCAGCAGAAUUGUUGUCAUUUAUAUGGUUCGACUUUGGGAGCUCAAGGAUUUCUAGUCGGAGUCCAACAAAUAUGUAAGUUCUCUGUUGGGUUGCUGCAUAUCGGCUAUGAUGUUCUUGGUGAGCCAAUGCUGCACAUGGAUGCUAUAUUAUGAGUCCAUAUUGUGUUUCAGAAGGAAUAAUGCUUGUUGUGGUGGGAGCAUUUGGUCAUCUCUGCAAGUUGGUUUUUUUUUUUUUAAACAUAAUGAAGGAGGUGGGCCUCCCACAUUGUUAUUAUUGAAAUUCAGUUAUAGAUUGAACAAGGGUGCUAUUUACAAUGAGGAGAAAGAUAUGGACUGUUUGUAAAAGGCUGACAUACGGGUAUUAGAUUGUGUGAGUGGGUUUUCCGCCCUUGCUUUUAGGAGAGGCUGCAUGGGUGGCUACUUCAAAGCAGUUACGUAACAAGAACUAGGGUCUUUAGAGUAUGACUCCCACGGAAUUUACUCAGCAAUGGCACCAUCUUCAACUCCUUACACCUGAAUGCUUAAAUGGCCGUGCUUCGCAUAGAGAAGAUGAUAAAGCUUCCUUCGCUACGUGAAGAGGACCAUUCAAAGAACAAGGAAGCAGCCUGUUUUGCUAACAGUUUCGGUGAUUUUGCUUCAAAGCAAAACACCCGCUUGUUCCGUUCCUUCCGAAUGCACCAGCAGGUGACUAAUACUAUUGCACCUAUUGCCCUGCUUAAGCCCUUUAAUGCAAGAGAAGGCACCCAUUUAGUCCAUAAGUCAAGAUAUGUGCUGGGAGUGGGAGGAACUGGGAAGUUCUGUAAAAUGAGAGCCCAGAUUGCUUUGGAGUAGGCACAUUCCAGGAUUGAAUGGUCCACUGACUCCCCAAAGGACGAGCAGAGAGGACAUGCAUUUGGGCCAGUGAUGCCUUUUUUUUUUAGAUUAUCAGCAGUCAGUAUUUUAUUGUUGAAGCAGAGCCAUCCAAAGAUCUUUGUUUUCUCAGGAACAGGGAGUUUCCAGAAGGCUUUACCGAGUGGAGAGAUGAUGCCGCCAUGUGACAAAAAGAUUAUUACAACUUCAAGGUUGCAGAGGCAUUCGAUUUCCAGACUCUGGUGUCGUUACUUUCGGACAGGCUGAAGGUUUGAAGUAUGACAUUCUAGCAAUGCUGCGGUGGUCAUGGGCCUUCUGAAUGGAUCUAUCUUGUUUGGGUGUUGAACAAACUUCGCUAAUGUCUGAGAGGGCUUGUGAGACAUGAUAAACAAAUUUGGAAGAAAGGUUCUCAAGGGCUCAUUUCCUGUCCACACAUCAUGCCAGAAGGAAGUCUGUUGUCCAUUGCCAAUUUUUGCGAUACAACUUUUUUGGAACAGAUCCUGCAAAUUAAGUAUCCCUUUCCAAAAUGGUGUGGCGGUGCAUUUGAGAUGAGGUGACGACAAGAUUGGUGACUGCCUACGGCAGUAUAUUUGCCAAAUUAAGUUGCUCCAAGGUUUGCCGUGAUCAUUGAAUUAUUUCCACCACCAUUUCAUCAGCAGCAAUUGGUUUAAAAUAAAUAGGUUGGGGACACCAAGGCCUCAAAGAUUUUUUGGCCGGCAAAUCUACCAAAUCAUAUCCCAGCUGGCAAGGUAUUUACAUUUGCUCACCUUCUCCUGGUCCGACCAAAGGAAACUUCGGCAGAUUCGAUCAAUUCUCUGAAUGAUGAUCGUGGUGACUUGGAGAAUAGACAUCCGGUAGACAGGGAUUAAUCUAAGCACGGAAUUAAUGAGGGUCAACCUGCCUGCCAGUGUGGGAGUAUUCCAUUUCCAGCCACCAAGUUUCUUAUCAACUUUUUCAACAAGAAAAUUCCAGUCUGCCAAUCUAAAGGUUGAGUGACGAAGGGGGAUGCCAAGAUAAGAGAUGGGCACCUGAUCUACCUGACAUCUCUGCAAGUUGUUGUUUGCAUUAUUGCCUUGAGUGCCUUUUCCUUUUCACUGUAUUAUGAUAUGGUGUUCGGGGAGACAGACUCAGCUGGGUUUGUGUUGGUAAUUGGGAAGCAACUCUAAAUUGUCAGUAAUGGUUCUCAGUUUCAUUGGAUGGUGUUACUAGCAUCUACUGGUUUAUUACUCUGGCAAUUAUUCUGGUGGUCUAGACUGUACAGCAGACAAUGGCACUUCAUUCAGGAUUCUCUGGUGAUGGGUGAUACUAUACAGAAUGGUAUGCAGAAUAAACAUAUACUGGAUGGGUUCACUGAUACUAUCCUUGAUGUUCUAAGCAGGAUCAUAUAUGCUUCAGGGAUGUUGGGGAUUAUUUUAUGCUGAGCUCAACUUUUCUUUUUGCACCAUCAGGUUUAUUUCUUAUGCAGUGUAGUGGAACCUGAUGACUUUUCACAACUGAUGGAUGGGGUGAUUGAGGUGUUUUGCCAAUCCCCAUCCUUGCUUCUAGGGCUUAAGUUUGUUUCCUCUUUAUGUUGGGCUUGUAAUUUGUUUAUCGUUUUGGGCUGCUUGCUAUUCUCAUGUGGUACAGAUACUAUGUGUACUUGUAGUUGUAUCUUUCCUUCAAUGAAUCAACAGUACUUCUCUUUACCACAAAAAAAAAUGGAAAAGGAGACGGCAAUUAUCUUGUUU